Molecule: long non-coding RNA, 2063 nt
Filed under: Aedes aegypti (yellow fever mosquito)
Lineage: Eukaryota; Metazoa; Arthropoda; Insecta; Diptera; Culicidae
Description: lncRNA AAEL022419
Source: RNAcentral
GUUAUGUGUUCUGUAACUCGAUAUCGCUCGAACUCGAUGGUCCCUCCAUUAUCGAGUAAUGGAGAGAUGACUGUACACCACAGGGUGACUGCUUCUCGUACGCUCUUUUGCCUUAAAAGCAUCAUGUUUACAGCACUUUUUAAGGCCUCAAUGAACCGAAAGUUUCGUUGUUUAUGCUUCAUUUUUGUUGCUGUUCGCUUUUUAAAUCCUACAUUUAUUUAAAAAAUCGAAUUAUAAAUUAGAUCCCAGCUAUUAGGUUAACAUUUUCACUGUCCGGUCAUAGAAAACAUGAGGUGUCCACUGGUCCAGAGGACUUACAAUGGUUUUACAAAUAGGAUGCUUUUCUUUGAGUUUCUACAUUUUCCAAUAAAUUUUGCAUUAUGAUUUAUGCAAAACUUCCUGAAGUCAACGUACGGAGAAAAUUCAGCUGAAAUUAUUAGAAACAUUUGUGGUUACACUUGUAUGAAAUUUUCUCGUUUCACAUUUUUGCAAUAGAUCGAAUCAGGGUGCAACUUUUGACAGCUACUGUUUUUAACGUUUGGGCAUGAAAACUUCAUAGUUUGUGUACACUGCAGGCAUUGCAUUUCAUCUCAUCUUUCGAUCAUCUGAGCAAGAUAUUGAUCAAAUAAGAAGAUAUCAUCUAGGGCUCUUUGAUCAUAUUUUAAUGAAAAUCUUCGGCUCUUUUGAUGCUCGAUAAAAUCCUUCGACACAGCAAUCCACGUAGUUUAUACGAUGACAAUGUUUGAAAAAGGUGCAAAACAAAAGCAGUGAAAGAUUGCAAACUCAACGAAAGUUCUGUGCAAAGCAUGUGCUAACGGUUCUGUGCCAGAGAAUCUAGCGGCAUAUUGGGAAUGUUCGAUACCAUUUCUUCCUAAAAGAUCGAAACCAAGCGUUCAAGGACAAUAAUGGCCGGAAUAUUCCAAAUAGAGAUUCAAAUAAUUGAUCACAAGUUUAUACUAAUUAAACACAGCUUUCAAUCAAAUUUGGUAUACGUAGAAGGCUACUGACUUUAAAUAUGUCUAAUGAAUGAAAAAGUUAAAGAAUAAAAUUACUAUUGUAUAGAAAUAAACGCAAUUUUAUGUCUAACAUUAUAAAAAUGAGAGGUUUUUUGCUGAUUCCAUGUACGACAAACUGGGUAGCAAGUUAUCUUUACAGCACAUUGUGCUUGACCAUAGGAGAAUUUGGAGAAAAAUCAACUUUCGCUUGUCGAUAAUUUAGGUACAUGUGAGUGCUGAGAAGUAAAGGUUCCCUUCUGUUACGGAAAACUUUUCUUCAAACGACAAACUUCUCCACUGGUCCAUUCAGUGUUUCAAGUGUCUUCUGGUGGAAGAAGGUCUCGGGGUCUAGUGCCUCUGGUACAUUUUUAUUAUCUCGAGAAAGUUCAAUAGCCGACCCCAAUAUUUCCUUUGUAUAUUUGUCGGUCUUCAAAUUGGUCGAAACACUAUAGGCUAAUCUAUAGUUUAACAAUCAGUAGAUAGCACGUUCUAAAAAUAGCUCAUUCUAGUGUCACAAAAUGCUAUAGUUCCAACUUAAAUUACGUUAUUGAACAUCAGUAAUCACUUUCGAAACAGACAUUUGAUUAUAUCACCAAAGAGUUGUCAAGAUCAUCAAGAUGAAAAGAUCGAAUCAUUUCAAUGCGCUCUUGGAUUGAGGAUAAUAUCUUUCAACCAUACGGAGAUGAUCUCUUCGAUCAGAUGAGAUUGUAAAGCCUGGUCCACUGUAAACAUGUGUUUUGGUAUAAUCCUGGAAUACUAAAAUCUGAAUAUCAUUAUUCGUUUUUGGAAAAUUUGAACUGUCCGGCCAUAGACGACUUCCCCCCUGAGAGAGACUCUUCUUCUUCUUCUCCUCUGGGUGGCCGAGACUGAGAGAGACUCGCAAAGAGGAAAAAUAUCAACGUCAUAUGCAGCCAAGAUUCCGCUGUCACGAAACGUCCAAUACGGCCCGCCGAUUUUAUGGCUGAAAAAGUGUCAAGUAUUGUAUUCGAAAUAAACUAUUAUUAAAAACCUCAAUUAGCGGAGCAAAGAUGCUAAUAAAUCUUAACAGAAGACUAGUUAGGGGUCAUG